Pelobates cultripes (western spadefoot toad) is the source of this 739-nucleotide non-coding RNA. NCBI's taxonomy places the organism in Eukaryota, Metazoa, Chordata, Amphibia, Anura, Pelobatidae. The record is from the annotation of a GenBank genome assembly.
AAGUGAACGUAGGUGUUAAAUCCUAAAUCUGCACGAGUGAGUAGCGGUCUGUGAUUGGGUGCUCAUUUGUCCUAUGAUUCUUCCUCAUAUUGUUCCCAAAGGGCCCAUACCUUUUGAAAUUUGGUGGUAGUGUUCCGAACGGUAGCUGUCAUCUUGUCCAUUAAGUAAUUAUCUCUGAUUUUGGAAAUUACUAAUGAAAGUGGGGGUGUCUCUGGUUUUAUCCAGUAUUGUGCCAGUGCCCUACGAGCUGCUAGAUUGAGCAUAUUCAGAAGUUUUUGGUCGUGUUUGUCUAGUCCGUUUGUCGGUCGUGAUAAUAGACAUGCCCAGGGGUCUAGUGUUAUUUGUCGGUGUAGGAUUUUAGUGUGCAUGGCCACUAUCUUUUCCCAAAACUCCUUUACUUUAAUACACUGCCACCACAUGUGGAUGUAUGUGCCUUUUUCUCCACAUAGUCGCCAACAGGUAUCGGUGGGACAGAGUUGCAUGUGUUGUUGCUUGACUGGUGUUGUAUACCACCGAAGCAUUAUUUUAUAUGAUUGCUCCUGUAAGGUCGUGCAUAUAGACACUUUCGUGUUCGCCUCCCAUAUGUCUUGCCACUCCGUUCCCUCCAGUGUUUCCCCCAAAUCCGCUUCCCAUUUGUCUGUGUAUGUCUGCGGGCCCCACGUGCCUGAUUCUAGGCAUAUGUGGUUGUAGGACAAAUAGCCCUUCUAAGGAGAAUGUUGAUACCAACAAGUGGGAUACC